GAUGAAGAACGUAGCGAAAUGCGAUAAGUAAUGUGAAUUGCAGAAUUCAGUGAAUCAUCGAAUCUUUGAACGCACAUUGCGCCCCCUGGUAUUCCGGGGGGCAUGCCUGUUCGAGCGUCAUUUCACCACUCAAGCCUCGCUUGGUAUUGGGCAACGCGGUCCGUCGCGUGCCUCAAAUCGACCGGCUGGGUCUUCUGUCCCCUAAGCGUUGUGGAAACUAUUCGCUAAAGGGUGUUCGGGAGGCUACGCCGUAAAACAACCCCAUUUCUAAGGUUGACCUCGGAUCAGGUAGGGAUACCCGCUGAACUUAAGCAUAUCAAUAAGCGGAGGA
This 331-nucleotide unclassified non-coding RNA is filed under the name soil metagenome. RNAcentral's name for it is "partial contains 5.8S ribosomal RNA, internal transcribed spacer 2, and large subunit ribosomal RNA". The stretch from base 1 to 120 matches the Rfam family "5.8S ribosomal RNA", at positions 35 to 154 of the family's 154-position model. The record is from RNAcentral.